AAGAAAAUUAGUGGUUGGAAGGAAAAACUACUAUCUGCCGGGGGGAAGGAGAUCCUGCUCAAGGCUGUGAUCCAAGCCAUACCUACCUAUGCAAUGUCGGUCUUUAAAAUUCCUAAAAAAAAUUGUGAAGGAAUCAUUGACGUGAUAACGCAUUUCUGGUGGGGAGACGAGGAGAACCAGAGGAGGAUGCACUGGAUGGCCUGGUGGAAAAUGUGUGUACCAAAAACCCAAGGAGGAAUGGGAUUCCGUGAUAUCCACUGUUUCAACCUGGCUCUGCUGGCCAAACAGGCAUGGCGUCUCCUUGAUAAUCCCGAUUCCUUGUGUGCCACUAUUCUAAGGGCCAAGUACUACCCUGAUGGCGAUUUG
RNAcentral lists this ribosomal RNA (366 nucleotides) under Triticum aestivum (bread wheat). RNAcentral's name for it is "partial small subunit ribosomal RNA". The record is from RNAcentral. Lineage: Eukaryota; Viridiplantae; Streptophyta; Magnoliopsida; Poales; Poaceae.